AAAAAUGAUAUAAACUUGAAAUGAUCUGAUUUUAAAAGACAAAUUCAAAUAAGAAACCGAGUAACCCAAAAAUUUGAGAGGAUAAACAAAUGGAGAUCUUGGUGGGGUUGGGGAUCUCGAAUACAUGGUCUCUAAUGUAAUCACUUGCCUCAGAAAAAAUUACUUCUGAAUUUCUGCAGACAACAAUGUACAAUGUACUGUUGCAGGCCCAUUUGCCCGGACCCAAGAAAGAAACAAAAGAACCCAUACCAGCAGACCCACCAACUCCGCCGUUCACUUGCUGGCCGCCGCACGUCCCAUCGCUGCUCACCUGCUCCACCUGCUCUGCCGCUCCCAUGCCACUUGCGCCUGCAAUGACAGAAAGGAAACAUCUGCAAGCAAAAAGAUAUGAUAAAAAUAAUGUAAAAAUGGCCAUAAAGGGGGGGAACCGAACGUUUUGUAGGGAGGGCCUUUUUUUGGAGAAACAUUUUAGAAAUCAAAAGCAAAAACAAGAGAGUUCCAAAGGUUGAGCAUCACCAUUCCCGCUUAGUUUUUUUUUACUUAUCGUUAUCAUUUCUAUUUUUAUAAGUCUUAUUUUUAUUUUUCUUAAACAAAAACUUAUAAUAUCGUAAAAGAAAAAGGAAAAUGGGAAGACUAAACUCACCUGCAUCGGCCCCUAAAUUCGGCGUCGUCAUCGGCUCUUUGCCGUAGCCGAACGCGGGUUAAGGAAGGGGCAGAGGCCUUCCGUUUUAUCCUCGUUUCCCUGUUUCAGAGCCUUGGUCUCUAAGCACGCCCCAACGCGCUGGUGGGAGACGCCCUCGCAUGGCUCCGGCCAUUGGGCAGUGAGGAGGCGUGAUGGCGGUGGGGUUCCUAGCCUUGGAACCCUAGCAGAGAAAAGGGAUUUUCCCUUUAUUUUAUUUUUGUGUUCUUUGCAGCAAAAUGAAACUGCAGAAAAAUGUAAAAUUUUUAGCUUUUAUGUUGAUUAAAGCGGCGCCGUUUGAAAGAGGGAAAACCUGCGCACUCUUGCCCUAAUGGGUAAUUUGUGCCUUUGGUCCCUCUAAUCUUGCGGUGCAUUCAAUGCUGCCUUUUGUUUAAAUUUAAUUUUGGCCACAUAAUUUUGCUUCUGUUUCAAUUUGGUCCCUAGACCAUGCGCUUGUAUUCCCCUAGAACGGCACCGUUUCAGUGAUGUGGGAGUAUUUCAUGUUUGGUCCUCAUUCUUUUGCAGCGUGUUUUAAUUACUUUUCUUAUUUGUAAUUUGAGCCCUUAAUUUUAUUUUUGAUUUUGAUUUAAUCCCUUUCAUUUUUUUUUAACUAUUAAUUUUUGUUUUAUUUUUAUUUUCAUUUAUCUUUAUGUAUAUAUGUGUACGUUAUUUUAAUAUGUGCU
RNAcentral lists this long non-coding RNA (1362 nucleotides) under Gossypium barbadense (sea-island cotton). Its description in RNAcentral is "long non-coding RNA (GBAR_LNC023370)". Lineage: Eukaryota; Viridiplantae; Streptophyta; Magnoliopsida; Malvales; Malvaceae. The record is from RNAcentral.